Eupeodes corollae is the source of this 536-nucleotide long non-coding RNA. RefSeq lists it as uncharacterized. NCBI's taxonomy places the organism in Eukaryota, Metazoa, Arthropoda, Insecta, Diptera, Syrphidae. The transcript is spliced from 5 exons. The record is from RefSeq and is a predicted model, not a curated record.
AAAAAAAGCAAAAUGGGGAAUUGGGCUAAAAAGAAACUUAUGGAAUUUUUGUGACCUGUCAAAAAAUGACAAUCAAUUUUGCAAAACAAAACAAUGGGUUUCGGAUUUUAAGAACCAAAAUUCUUUAUAAUGAAGGGGGUAUAUACAAGUUCACUUCAUUGAUUAAAAAUCUGUCUUUUCAUUUUAGAUAGUGACAUAAUGCAGGAAGCAAUUUCCCUUAAGUAAUCUGGAACGCAAACCAAACAAGGCGCUGAUUUGCAGAUACUGCCCAUUGUUUCUGGAUGUACUUCUCAACUGCAAUAGCUGCCGCAGGCGUUGACGGCGGAGGUGUCACCAUCAAAACCAUUAGAAACAGCACCAUCAAGUCAAUGAUGCAAGUGGAAGUUUUGCCAUGUAAUAGUCGACCGCUGACGCCCUUCUCCAUCAAUUGUGUAAGUGUAAAGAGUACUACCAGUCUGCAGUUCUGCAAGAGACGCAAACAAAACAAGAAUACAAUCGCAUGAAGACUCCAAAAAAUUUCCAACCUUGACUGUAAG